CCGGUGUCUGCCGAAGCCUCUGCCACCACAGGAUUGCAGCUCGUGCUUCUAAGGGCACCGAAAACCUCAUCUAAGUUCAGUCUGCACUACAACGUCCCCGUCAAGUUCUCAAACUCAACGCUUCCCGGGGUCACAGAGUCCUGCCUUGGAGAGAGAGGGAUUGGAACAAAUAAAUGGACCAAUGGAUCAUAGUGAACAGUUCAAAAGAAGACCCAUGAAUUUAUGGAAAUGUGAAAUAUGACAAGGGUGGCAUCAUAAAUCGAUGGGACAAUGGAUGGUGAUACGGAAACUAGCUCACUAUAUGGAGCAAAGAAAACUGGACCUCUGCCUUGUGAUGAAGAUGAGCUCUAGAUGGAUUAAAAACCUAAACAGGAGAGGAGCAAUUCCCAGCAGGCCUGUUCCAGAGCGGCAAGUGUGAAAUGCAGCCUUCACGGUGGAUUACAGGCCUAAAGGAGGCCUGUCACCUCCAGGCGCGCAGGAGAGAGCGG
This 488-nucleotide long non-coding RNA is filed under the name Equus caballus (horse). Its description in RNAcentral is "lncRNA (ENSECAG00000060233.1)". Lineage: Eukaryota; Metazoa; Chordata; Mammalia; Perissodactyla; Equidae. The record is from RNAcentral.